ACAUGCGCAGGAGGCUCAAUGACAGUCGAGCUUUGGCUAAGGCUCCAGGGAAAGGGUCUAGCCAUGCUGCAUGUGACCCGGGGGGUCUGGGGGUCCAGGGUCCGAGUAUGGCCACUGUUGCCCGCGCUCCUCGGGCCCCCCCGGGCCCUCUCAUCGCUGGCAGCCAAAAUGGGGGAGUAUCGCAAGAUGUGGAACCCCAGGGAGCCCCGCGACUGGGCCCAGCAGUACCGCGAGCGCUUCAUUCCCUUCUCCAAGGAGCAGCUGCUCCGCCUGCUAAUACAGAGUCUUGAUGUUGUCUAGUCUGGAGGGCAGUGGCACGAUCUCGACUCACUGCAGCCUCCGCCUCCCUGGUUCAAGCAAUUCUCCAGCUUCAGCCUCCUGAGUAGCUGGGACUACAGGUGCACGCCAUCAUGCCCGGCUAAUUUUUGUAUUUUUAGUAGAGACGGGAUUUCACCAUGUUGGCCACGCUGGUCUCGAACUCCUGACUUCAAGUGAUCCACCUGCCUCGGCCUCCCAAAGUGCUGGGAUUACAGGUGCGAGACACUGCGCCUGGCCCCAGAACAAA
RNAcentral lists this small RNA (565 nucleotides) under Pongo abelii (Sumatran orangutan). Its description in RNAcentral is "processed transcript". Lineage: Eukaryota; Metazoa; Chordata; Mammalia; Primates; Hominidae. The record is from RNAcentral.